RNAcentral lists this ribosomal RNA (253 nucleotides) under uncultured bacterium. RNAcentral's name for it is "partial 16S ribosomal RNA". It matches the Rfam family "Bacterial small subunit ribosomal RNA", at positions 524 to 776 of the family's 1533-position model. The record is from RNAcentral.
UACGUAGGGUGCAAGCGUUAUCCGGAAUUACUGGGCGUAAAGGGCUCGUAGGCGGCCAACUAAGUCGGACGUGAAAUCCCUCGGCUUAACCGGGGAACUGCGUCCGAUACUGGAUGGCUUGAGUUUGGGAGAGGGAUGCGGAAUUCCAGGUGUAGCGGUGAAAUGCGUAGAUAUCUGGAGGAACACCGGUGGCGAAGGCGGCAUCCUGGACCAACACUGACGCUGAUGAGCGAAAGCCAGGGGAGCAAACGGG